RNAcentral lists this transfer RNA (63 nucleotides) under Escherichia coli. RNAcentral's name for it is "tRNA-Met". It matches the Rfam family "tRNA", at positions 6 to 65 of the family's 71-position model. From Rfam's summary of the family: Transfer RNA (tRNA) molecules are approximately 80 nucleotides in length. RNAcentral also lists the same sequence under 14 other names. Lineage: Bacteria; Pseudomonadati; Pseudomonadota; Gammaproteobacteria; Enterobacterales; Enterobacteriaceae. The record is from RNAcentral.
CGUAGCUCAGUUGGUUAGAGCACAUCACUCAUAAUGAUGGGGUCACAGGUUCGAAUCCCGUCG